UUGAUCCUGCCGGAGGUUACUGCUAUCGGAGUUCGAUUAAGCCAUGCGAGUCUAAAGGUUCNUUNGGAAACCUUGGCGGACUGCUCAGUAACACGUGGAUAACCUACCCUUGGGACUGGAAUAACCCCGGGAAACUGGGGAUAAUACCGGAUAGAUCAGGGAUGCUGGAAUGCACCUUGAUCCAAAGCUCCGGCGCCCAAGGAUGGGUCUGCGGCCUAUCAGGUAUUAGUGGGUGUAACGUACCUACUAGCCAACGACGGGUACGGGUUGUGAGAGCAAGAGCCCGGAGAUGGAUUCUGAGACACGAAUCCAGGCCCUACGGGGUGCAGCAGGCGCGAAACCUUUACAAUGUGCGAAAGCAUGAUAAGGGAACUCCGAGUGCCAGCAUCUAAUGUUGGCUGUCCUUGUGCCUAAAACGCACAAGAUAGCAAGGGCCGGGUAAGACCGGUGCCAGCCGCCGCGGUAACACCGGCGGCCCGAGUGGUAGCCGCUAUUAUUGGGUCUAAAGGGUCCGUAGCCGGUUCGAUAAGUCCUCUGGGAAAUCUGGUUGCUUAACAAUCAGACUGCCAAGGGAUACUGUCGAACUUGAGACCGGGAGAGGUAAGAGGUACUUCAGGGGUAGGAGUGAAAUCUUGUAAUCCCUGGGGGACCAUCUGUGGCGAAGGCGUCUUACCAGAACGGGUCUGACGGUGAGGGACGAAAGCUGGGGGCGCAAACCGGAUUAGAUACCCGGGUAGUCCCAGCCGUAAACGAUGCUCGCUAUGUGUCAGGUACGGUGUGACCGUAUCUGGUGCCGUAGGGAAGCCGUGAAGCGAGCCACCUGGGAAGUACGGCCGCAAGGCUGAAACUUAAAGGAAUUGGCGGG
This 865-nucleotide ribosomal RNA is filed under the name uncultured archaeon. RNAcentral describes it as "bacterial SSU rRNA". It matches the Rfam family "Archaeal small subunit ribosomal RNA", at positions 8 to 872 of the family's 1478-position model. The record is from RNAcentral.